RNAcentral lists this ribosomal RNA (253 nucleotides) under uncultured bacterium. Its description in RNAcentral is "partial 16S ribosomal RNA". It matches the Rfam family "Bacterial small subunit ribosomal RNA", at positions 524 to 776 of the family's 1533-position model. The record is from RNAcentral.
UACGAAGGGGGCUAGCGUUGCUCGGAAUUACUGGGCGUAAAGGGCGCGUAGGCGGACAGUUUAGUCAGAGGUGAAAGCCCAGGGCUCAACCUUGGAACUGCCUUUGAUACUGACUGUCUUGAGUUCGGGAGAGGUGAGUGGAAUGCCGAGUGUAGAGGUGAAAUUCGUAGAUAUUCGGCGGAACACCGGUGGCGAAGGCGGGUCUCUGGGCAUUUCCUGACGCUGAGGCGCGAAAGCGUGGGGAGCAAACGGG